This 1088-nucleotide ribosomal RNA is filed under the name Chelonia mydas (Green sea turtle). RNAcentral's name for it is "Eukaryotic small subunit ribosomal RNA". It matches the Rfam family "Eukaryotic small subunit ribosomal RNA". Lineage: Eukaryota; Metazoa; Chordata; Testudines; Cheloniidae. The record is from Rfam by way of RNAcentral.
CUCCUGGUUGAUCCUGCCUGCAGCAUACGCUUGUCUCAGAGAUUAAGGCAGGCAUGUCUAAGUACACAUGGCUGGUACAGUGAAACCACGACUGGCUCAUUAAAUCAGUUAUGGUUCCUUUUGGUCACUUCAACCGCUACUGGGAUAACUGUGGUAAUUCUAGCACUAAUACAUGCUGAUGAGUGCUGACCUCCAGGGAUGCAUGCAUUUAUCAGAUCAAAACCUACCUGGGCUUGCCCGGCCGCUUUGGUGUCUCUAGAUAACCUCAGGCCAAUCGCGUUUCCUUGUGGCAAUGUCAAUGCAUUCAAAUGUUUGGCCUAUCAACUUUUGAUCAGAUACUGUCAUAGUUCCGACCAUAAACGAUGCUGACUAGUGAUCCAGCAUGACCUGCCGGGCAGCUUAAGGGAAACCAAAGUCUUUGAGUUCCAAGUGGGGUAUGAUUGCAAAGCUGAAACUUAAAGGAACGGAAGGAAGGGCACUACCAAGAGUGGAGAUUGGAGGUUAAUUUGACUCAACAUGGGCAACCUCACCUGGCCUGGACACGGAAAGGAUUGACAGACUGAUAGCUCUUCCUUGAUUUUGUGGGUGAUGGUGCAUGGCUGUUUGUAGUAGGUGGAGUGAUAUGUCUGGUUAAUUUUGACAACGAACAAGACUCUGGCAUGCUAACUAGCUAUGCAACCCCAGAGAGGUCGGCACCUAACUUCUCAGAGGGACAAGUGGCAUUCGGCCAACUGAGAUUGAGCAAUAACAGGUCUGUGAUGCCAGUGUGAUACCUGCCCUAUGCUGACAGGUGGAGGUAACCUGUUGAACUCCAUUCAUGAUGGGGAACAGGGAGUGCAAUUGUUCCCGAUGAAUGACAAAUUUCCAGUAAGUGCGGGUCAUAAGCUUGCGUUGAUUAACAACCUGCCAUUUGUACACACCACCCUUUGCUACUAGCAAUUGGAUGGUUUAUUGAGCUCCUCAGAUUGACCCUGCCAGGGUCGGUCACAGCCCUGGUGGAGCGCCGAGAAGAUGGUCAAACUUGACUAUCUAGAAGAAGUAAAAGUUGUAACCAGGUUUCUAUAGAUAAACCUGCAAAAGGCUCAUGA